CCUACGGGUGGCUGCAGUGGGGAAUAUUGGACAAUGGGCGAAAGCCUGAUCCAGCCAUGCCGCGUGUGUGAAGAAGGCCUUCGGGUUGUAAAGCACUUUCAGUGGGGAAGAAAGCCUUGGGGCUAAUACCCUCGAGGAAGGACAUCACCCACAGAAGAAGCACCGGCUAACUCCGUGCCAGCAGCCGCGGUAAUACGGGGGGUGCGAGCGUUAAUCGGAAUUACUGGGCGUAAAGCGCGCGUAGGCGGUCUGAUAAGCCGGUUGUGAAAGCCCCGGGCUCAACCUGGGAACGGCAUCCGGAACUGUCAGGCUAGAGUGCAGGAGAGGAAGGUAGAAUUCCCGGUGUAGCGGUGAAAUGCGUAGAGAUCGGGAGGAAUACCAGUGGCGAAGGCGGCCUUCUGGACUGACACUGACGCUGAGGUGCGAAAGCGUGGGUAGCAAACAGGAUUAGAUACCCUUGUAUC
Molecule: ribosomal RNA, 464 nt
Filed under: Vreelandella stevensii
Lineage: Bacteria; Pseudomonadati; Pseudomonadota; Gammaproteobacteria; Oceanospirillales; Halomonadaceae
Description: partial 16S ribosomal RNA
Rfam family: Bacterial small subunit ribosomal RNA
Source: RNAcentral